GCUUGUCUCAAAGAUUAAGCCAUGCAUGUGUUAGUAUAAACGCCUUUAUACUGUGAAACUGCGAACGGCUCAUUAUAUCAGUUAUAGUUUAUUUGAUACUUUUCGACUAUUGGAUAACCGUAGUAAUUCUAGAGCUAAUACAUGCGCCAAGUCCCGUCUUACGUCGGGAUGUAUUUAUUAGAUUUCAAUCAACACUUUUUGCUGACUCAUGAUAACUUAGCGGAUCGCAGAGGCUUCGGCCGGCGAUGAAUCAUUCAAGUUUCUGCCCUAUCAGCUUUCGAUGGUAGUGUAUUGGACUACCAUGGCGGUGACGGGUAACGAAGAAUAAGGGUUCGGUUUCGGAGAGGGAGCCUGAGAGAUGGCUACCACAUCCAAGGAAGGCAGCAGG
RNAcentral lists this ribosomal RNA (388 nucleotides) under uncultured marine stramenopile. RNAcentral's name for it is "partial small subunit ribosomal RNA". It matches the Rfam family "Eukaryotic small subunit ribosomal RNA", at positions 30 to 432 of the family's 1831-position model. The record is from RNAcentral.